Molecule: ribosomal RNA, 1121 nt
Filed under: Escherichia coli
Lineage: Bacteria; Pseudomonadati; Pseudomonadota; Gammaproteobacteria; Enterobacterales; Enterobacteriaceae
Description: partial 23S ribosomal RNA
Rfam family: Bacterial large subunit ribosomal RNA
Source: RNAcentral
UCAGUGUGUGUGUUAGUGGAAGCGUCUGGAAAGGCGCGCGAUACAGGGUGACAGCCCCGUACACAAAAAUGCACAUGCUGUGAGCUCGAUGAGUAGGGCGGGACACGUGGUAUCCUGUCUGAAUAUGGGGGGACCAUCCUCCAAGGCUAAAUACUCCUGACUGACCGAUAGUGAACCAGUACCGUGAGGGAAAGGCGAAAAGAACCCCGGCGAGGGGAGUGAAAAAGAACCUGAAACCGUGUACGUACAAGCAGUGGGAGCACGCUUAGGCGUGUGACUGCGUACCUUUUGUAUAAUGGGUCAGCGACUUAUAUUCUGUAGCAAGGUUAACCGAAUAGGGGAGCCGAAGGGAAACCGAGUCUUAACUGGGCGUUAAGUUGCAGGGUAUAGACCCGAAACCCGGUGAUCUAGCCAUGGGCAGGUUGAAGGUUGGGUAACACUAACUGGAGGACCGAACCGACUAAUGUUGAAAAAUUAGCGGAUGACUUGUGGCUGGGGGUGAAAGGCCAAUCAAACCGGGAGAUAGCUGGUUCUCCCCGAAAGCUAUUUAGGUAGCGCCUCGUGAAUUCAUCUCCGGGGGUAGAGCACUGUUUCGGCAAGGGGGUCAUCCCGACUUACCAACCCGAUGCAAACUGCGAAUACCGGAGAAUGUUAUCACGGGAGACACACGGCGGGUGCUAACGUCCGUCGUGAAGAGGGAAACAACCCAGACCGCCAGCUAAGGUCCCAAAGUCAUGGUUAAGUGGGAAACGAUGUGGGAAGGCCCAGACAGCCAGGAUGUUGGCUUAGAAGCAGCCAUCAUUUAAAGAAAGCGUAAUAGCUCACUGGUCGAGUCGGCCUGCGCGGAAGAUGUAACGGGGCUAAACCAUGCACCGAAGCUGCGGCAGCGACGCUUAUGCGUUGUUGGGUAGGGGAGCGUUCUGUAAGCCUGCGAAGGUGUGCUGUGAGGCAUGCUGGAGGUAUCAGAAGUGCGAAUGCUGACAUAAGUAACGAUAAAGCGGGUGAAAAGCCCGCUCGCCGGAAGACCAAGGGUUCCUGUCCAACGUUAAUCGGGGCAGGGUGAGUCGACCCCUAAGGCGAGGCCGAAAGGCGUAGUCGAUGGGAAACAGGUUAAUAUUCCU